RNAcentral lists this non-coding RNA (29 nucleotides) under Bombyx mori (domestic silkworm). Lineage: Eukaryota; Metazoa; Arthropoda; Insecta; Lepidoptera; Bombycidae. The record is from RNAcentral.
UCGGUGUGAACUGCCGCUCCAGCGAGUUG